RNAcentral lists this ribosomal RNA (163 nucleotides) under Desmanthus bicornutus. RNAcentral's name for it is "5.8S ribosomal RNA". It matches the Rfam family "5.8S ribosomal RNA". From Rfam's summary of the family: 5.8S ribosomal RNA (5.8S rRNA) is a component of the large subunit of the eukaryotic ribosome. It is transcribed by RNA polymerase I as part of the 45S precursor that also contains 18S and 28S rRNA. Lineage: Eukaryota; Viridiplantae; Streptophyta; Magnoliopsida; Fabales; Fabaceae. The record is from RNAcentral.
GAACGACUCUCGACAACGGAUAUCUCGGCUCUCACAUCGAUGAAGAACGUAGCGAAAUACGAUACUUGGUGUGAAUUGUAGAAUCCCAUGAACCAUCGAGUCUUUGAACGCAAGUUGCGCCCGAAGCCAUUAGGCCGAGGGUACGUCUGCCUGGGUGUCACGC